UACGAAGGGGGCUAGCGUUGCUCGGAAUCACUGGGCGUAAAGCGCACGUAGGCGGAUUGUUAAGUCAGGGGUGAAAUCCUGGAGCUCAACUCCAGAACUGCCUUUGAUACUGGCGAUCUUGAGUCCGGGAGAGGAGAGUGGAACUGCGAGUGUAGAGGUGAAAUUCGUAGAUAUUCGCAAGAACACCAGUGGCGAAGGCGGCUCACUGGCCCGGUACUGACGCUGAGGUGCGAAAGCGUGGGGAGCAAACAGG
RNAcentral lists this ribosomal RNA (253 nucleotides) under uncultured bacterium. Its description in RNAcentral is "partial 16S ribosomal RNA". It matches the Rfam family "Bacterial small subunit ribosomal RNA", at positions 524 to 776 of the family's 1533-position model. The record is from RNAcentral.